CCAGUCAUAUGGAUUCCUACGGGAGGCAGCAGUGGGGAAUAUUCCGCAAUGGGGGAAACCCUGACGGAGCGACGCCUCGUGGGUGAAGAAGUCUUUCGGGAUGUAAAGCCCUGUCGGCAGGGAUGAAGGAAGUGACAGUACCUGCAAAGGAAGCAUCGGCUAACUACGUGCCAGCAGCCGCGGUAAUACGUAGGAUGCGAGCGUUGUUCGGAAUCACUGGGCGUAAAGCGUACGUAGGCGGUAAAUUUAGCCUGCUAUUAAAGACCGGGGCUCAACUCCGGGAAUGUAGCAGAAACUGAUUUGCUAGAGGUUAGUAGAGGGAAUCGGAAUUCUCAGUGUAGCGGUGAAAUGCGUAGAUAUUGGGAAGAACACCAGUGGCGAAAGCGGAUUUCUGGGCUAAUACUGACGCUGAGGUACGAAAGCGUGGGGAGCAAACGGGAUUAGAUACCCCGGUAGUCCACGCCGUAAACGAUGGAUACUAGGUGUAGCAGGACUCGACCCUUGCUGUGCCGUAGCAAACGCAAUAAGUAUCCCGCCUGGGGAGUAUGGCCGCAAGGUUGAAACUCAAAGGAAUUGACGGGGACCCGCACAAGCGGUGGAUGAUGUGGUUUAAUUCGAUC
This 620-nucleotide ribosomal RNA is filed under the name uncultured cyanobacterium. RNAcentral describes it as "bacterial SSU rRNA". It matches the Rfam family "Bacterial small subunit ribosomal RNA", at positions 312 to 956 of the family's 1533-position model. The record is from RNAcentral. Lineage: Bacteria; Bacillati; Cyanobacteriota.